RNAcentral lists this ribosomal RNA (755 nucleotides) under uncultured cyanobacterium. RNAcentral's name for it is "bacterial SSU rRNA". It matches the Rfam family "Bacterial small subunit ribosomal RNA", at positions 566 to 1320 of the family's 1533-position model. The record is from RNAcentral. Lineage: Bacteria; Bacillati; Cyanobacteriota.
CGUCCGCAGGGGGCUCAUCAGGUCUGCUGUCAAAGGUCGGAGCUCAACUCCGGUUCGGCAGUGGAAACUGGUGGGCUAGAGGGCGACAGGGGUAGAGGGAAUUCCCAGUGUAGCGGUGAAAUGCGUAGAGAUUGGGAAGAACACCGGUGGCGAAAGCGCUCUACUGGGUCGCACCUGACCCUCAGGGACGAAAGCUAAGGUAGCGAAAGGGAUUAGAUACCCCUGUAGUCUUAGCCGUAAACGAUGGAUACUAGGCGUGGUUGGUAUCGACCCCAGCCGUGCCGAAGCUAACGCGUUAAGUAUCCCGCCUGGGGAGUACGCACGCAAGUGUGAAACUCAAAGGAAUUGACGGGGGCCCGCACAAGCGGUGGAGGAUGUGGUUUAAUUCGAUGCAACGCGAAGAACCUUACCAGGGCUUGACAUCCCGCGAAUCUCCAGGAAAGUGGAGAGUGCCUUCGGGAGCGCGGAGACAGGUGGUGCAUGGCUGUCGUCAGCUCGUGUCGUGAGAUGUUGGGUUAAGUCCCGCAACGAGCGCAACCCUCGUCCUUAGUUGCCAGCAUUGAGUUGGGCACUCUAGGGAGACUGCCGGUGACAAACCGGAGGAAGGUGAGGAUGACGUCAAGUCAGCAUGCCCCUUAUGCUCUGGGCAACACACGUCCUACAAUGGUCGGGACAAAGGGGAGCGAGCUCGCGAGAGUCAGCGAAUCCCAGCAAACUCGGCCUCAGUUCAGAUGGCAGGCUGCAACUCGCCUGCC